UACGUAGGUGGCAAGCGUUGUCCGGAUUUAUUGGGUUUAAAGGGUGCGUAGGCGGCCCUGUAAGUCAGUGGUGAAAUAUCUCAGCUUAACUGAGAGGGUGCCAUUGAUACUGCGGGGCUUGAGUACAGAUGAGGUAGGCGGAAUUGACGGUGUAGCGGUGAAAUGCAUAGAUAUCGUCAAGAACACCGAUAGCGAAGGCAGCUUACUAAGCUGUAACUGACGCUGAGGCACGAAAGUGUGGGGAUCAAACAGG
RNAcentral lists this ribosomal RNA (253 nucleotides) under uncultured bacterium. RNAcentral's name for it is "partial 16S ribosomal RNA". It matches the Rfam family "Bacterial small subunit ribosomal RNA", at positions 524 to 776 of the family's 1533-position model. The record is from RNAcentral.